Molecule: long non-coding RNA, 406 nt
Organism: Etheostoma cragini (Arkansas darter)
Lineage: Eukaryota; Metazoa; Chordata; Actinopteri; Perciformes; Percidae
Exons: 4
Source: RefSeq, a predicted model, not a curated record
GACUGGCGAUUGUGGAGGCUGAACCUCCAGUGAAAACCCUGAAGGAGCACUGGCCAGCUCUUUUUACAGAGAGACAAGUGUUUGCUGAGUUCAACAGAAUAGCUACAACAAACCUGGAGAAUUACUUUUUUGGUGCUGUUGACAGCUACACACCACGCAUUGUCACCAUCUUCAAGUCCAAGAAAGGAAGUGUUGGGGGGAAACUGGCUGAGAUUGUGCAGCAAAUUGAUUCAAGGAAACCAGAUGUGACAGCAGUGCGUACCCUUGUUCUUCAAGGCAUCCCUGUUCUGCUUGGUGACGACCCCAGUAACUUCUACAACACCUCAUUUGAUUCUGACAGUGAGGAGGCAUGGGCCCAGGUAUCUGUUGGGUUGCUGACUAUCAUCAGUGAAGAUGUACCUCUCUC